RNAcentral lists this ribosomal RNA (450 nucleotides) under uncultured bacterium. Its description in RNAcentral is "partial 16S ribosomal RNA". It matches the Rfam family "Bacterial small subunit ribosomal RNA", at positions 338 to 795 of the family's 1533-position model. The record is from RNAcentral.
CCUACGGGGGGCUGCAGUAAGGAAUAUUGGUCAAUGGAGGAAACUCUGAACCAGCCAUCCCGCGUGAAGGAUGAAGGGGCUCUGCCUUGUAAACUUCUUUUGUCUGGGGCGAAACAGCUCGAUUUAUCGAGAACUGACGGUACCAGAAGAAUAAGCACCGGCUAACUCCGUGCCAGCAGCCGCGGUAAUACGGAGGGUGCAAGAAUCACCCGGAAUCACGGGUGUUAAAGGGGGCGAGGACGGCAGUGGAGAAAGGCUGUGGCUUAACCAUGGAAUUGCCAUUGAUACUGCAGAGCUUGAAUGAGGUUGAGGUUGGCGGAAUGUGACAUGUAGCGGUGAAAUGCUUAGAUAUGUCAUGGAACACCGAUUGCGAAGGCAGCUGACUGGACCUAUAUUGACGCUGAGGCACGAAAGCGUGGGGAGCGAACAGGAUUAGAUACCCUUGUAGUC